GACGAACGCUGGCGGCGUGCUUAACACAUGCAAGUCGAACGGAAAGGCCCCUUUGGGGGUACUCGAGUGGCGAACGGGUGAGUAACACGUGAGUAACCUGCCCUUGACUUCGGGAUAACUUCAGGAAACUGGGGCUAAUACCGGAUAGGAAUCCUUGCUGCAUGGUGGGGGUUGGAAAGCUUCGGCGGUUUUGGAUGGACUCGCGGCUUAUCAGCUUGUUGGUGGGGUAGUGGCUUACCAAGGCUUUGACGGGUAGCCGGCCUGAGAGGGCGACCGGCCACAUUGGGACUGGGAUACGGCCCAGACUCCUACGGGAGGCAGCAGUGGGGAAUAUUGCACAAUGGGCGGAAGCCUGAUGCAGCAACGCCGCGUGCGGGAUGACGGCCUUAGGGUUGUAAACCGCUUUCAGCAGGGGCGAAGCUUGUGGUGACGGUACCUGCAGAAGAAGCACCGGCUAACUACGUG
Molecule: ribosomal RNA, 465 nt
Filed under: uncultured bacterium
Lineage: Bacteria
Description: partial 16S ribosomal RNA
Rfam family: Bacterial small subunit ribosomal RNA
Source: RNAcentral